GAUGAACGCUGGCGGCGUGCCUAAUACAUGCAAGUCGAGCGAACAGACGAGGAGCUUGCUCCUCUGACGUUAGCGGCGGACGGGUGAGUAACACGUGGAUAACCUACCUAUAAGACUGGGAUAACUUCGGGAAACCGGAGCUAAUACCGGAUAAUAUAUUGAACCGCAUGGUUCAAUAGUGAAAGACGGUUUUGCUGUCACUUAUAGAUGGAUCCGCGCAGCAUUAGCUAGUUGGUAAGGUAACGGCUUACCAAGGCAACGAUGCGUAGCGGGCCUGGGAGGGUGACCGGCCCCGGUGGGCCCGAGAUGGGGCCAAGACUGCUACGGGCGGCAGGAGUGGGGAAUAUUGCAGAAUGGGCGGAAGCGUGAGGCAGAAAAUCCGCGUGCGGGAUGAAGGCCUUCGGGGUGUAAAAAGAUUUAGACUGUGACGAAGCGUGAGUGACGGUAAUGGGUAAAGAAGCAACGGCUAACUACGUG
This 477-nucleotide ribosomal RNA is filed under the name uncultured bacterium. Its description in RNAcentral is "partial 16S ribosomal RNA". It matches the Rfam family "Bacterial small subunit ribosomal RNA", at positions 28 to 507 of the family's 1533-position model. The record is from RNAcentral.